This 484-nucleotide ribosomal RNA is filed under the name uncultured bacterium. RNAcentral describes it as "partial 16S ribosomal RNA". It matches the Rfam family "Bacterial small subunit ribosomal RNA", at positions 30 to 507 of the family's 1533-position model. The record is from RNAcentral.
AUUGAACGCUGGCGGCAGGCCUAACACAUGCAAGUCGAGCGGAUGCAGGGAGCUUGCUUCUGGAUUCAGCGGCGGACGGGUGAGUAAUGCCUAGGAAUAUGCGUGGUAGUGGGGGAUAACGUGCGGACACGGGCGCUAAUACCGCAUACGUCCUGAGGGAGAAAGGGGGGGAUCUUCGGACCUCACGCUAUCAGAUGAUCCGAGGUCGGAUUAGCUAGUUGGUGGGGUAAAGGCCUACCAAGGCGACGAUCCGUAGCUGGUCUGAGAGGAUGAUCAGCCACACUGGAACUGAGACACGGUCCAGACUCCUACGGGAGGCAGCAGUGGGGAAUAUUGGACAAUGGGCGAAAGCCUGAUCCAGCCAUGCCGCGUGGGUGAAGAAGGUCUUCGGGUUGUAAAGCCCUUUUGUUGGGAAAGAAAAGCAGUAGGUUAAUACCUCGCUGUUUUGACGGUACCAAAAGAAUAAGCACCGGCUAACUUCGUG